This 828-nucleotide ribosomal RNA is filed under the name uncultured Actinomycetes bacterium. RNAcentral's name for it is "bacterial SSU rRNA". It matches the Rfam family "Bacterial small subunit ribosomal RNA", at positions 28 to 866 of the family's 1533-position model. Lineage: Bacteria; Bacillati; Actinomycetota; Actinomycetes. The record is from RNAcentral.
GACGAACGCUGGCGGCGUGCUUAACACAUGCAAGUCGAACGGUAAGGCCCCUUCGGGGGUACACGAGUGGCGAACGGGUGAGUAACACGUGAGCAACCUGCCCUUGACUCCGGGAUAACAGUUGGAAACAGCUGCUAAUACCGGAUACGACCUUCGAUGACAUCAUCUGGAGGUGGAAAGCGCUUUAGCGGUCAAGGAUGGGCUCGCGGCCUAUCAGCUUGUUGGUGAGGUAACGGCUCACCAAGGCUUCGACGGGUAGCCGGCCUGAGAGGGCGACCGGCCACACUGGGACUGAGAUACGGCCCAGACUCCUACGGGAGGCAGCAGUGGGGAAUAUUGCACGAUGGGCGCAAGCCUGAUGCAGCAACGCCGCGUGCGGGAUGACGGCCUUCGGGUUGUAAACCGCUUUCAGUUCCGACGAAGCGCAAGUGACGGUAGGAACAGAAGAAGGACCGGCCAACUACGUGCCAGCAGCCGCGGUGAUACGUAGGGUCCGAGCGUUGUCCGGAAUUAUUGGGCGUAAAGGGCUUGUAGGCGGUUUGUCACGUCGGAAGUGAAAACUCAGGGCUCAACCCUGAGCCUGCUUCCGAUACGGGCAAACUAGAGGGAUGCAGGGGAGAAUGGAAUUCCUGGUGGAGCGGUGGAAUGCGCAGAUAUCAGGAGGAACACCGGUGGCGAAGGCGGUUCUCUGGGCAUUUCCUGACGCUGAGAAGCGAAAGCGUGGGGAGCAAACAGGCUUAGAUACCCUGGUAGUCCACGCCGUAAACGGUGGGCACUAGGUGUGGGGAACAUUCCACGUUCUCCGUGCCGAAGCUAACGCAUUAAGUG